UCUCCGUUGGUGAACCAGCGGAGGGAUCAUUACAGAGUUUACAACUCCCAAACCCUUAUGUGAACAUACCAAGAUGUUGCUUCGGCGGACUCGCCCCGGCGUCCGGACGGCCUAGCGCCGCCCGCGGCCCGGACUCAGGCGGCCGCCGGAGACCACCAAACUCUUUUGUAUCAUGAGUAUCUUCUGAAUCCGCCGCAAGGCAAAACAAAUGAAUCAAAACUUUCAACAACGGAUCUCUUGGUUCUGGCAUCGAUGAAGAACGCAGCGAAAUGCGAUAAGUAAUGUGAAUUGCAGAAUUCAGUGAAUCAUCGAAUCUUUGAACGCACAUUGCGCCCGCCAGCAUUCUGGCGGGCAUGCCUGUUCGAGCGUCAUUUCAACCCUCGACUUCCCUUUGGGGAAAUCGGCGUUGGGGACCGGCAGCAUACCGCCGGCCCCGAAAUGGAGUGGCGGCCCGUCCGCGGCGACCUCUGCGUAGUAAUCCAACCUCGCACCGGAACCCCGACGUGGCCACGCCGUAAAACACCCCACUUUCUGAACGUUGACCUCGGAUCAGGUAGGAAUACCCGCUGAACUUAAGCAUAUCAAUAAGCGGAGGAAAAGAAACCAACAGGGAUUGCCCCAGUAACGGCGAGUGAAGCGGCAACAGCUCAAAUUUGAAAUCUGGCCUUCGGGUCCGAGUUGUAAUUUGUAGAGGAUACUUUUGGCGAGGUGCCUUCCGAGUUCCCUGGAACGGGACGCCAUAGAGGGUGAGAGCCCCGUCUGGUCGGAUACCAAGCCUCUGUAAAGUUCCUUCGACGAGUCGAGUAGUUUGGGAAUGCUGCUCAAAAUGGGAGGUAUAUGUCUUCUAAAGCUAAAUAUUGGCCAGAGACCGAUAGCGCACAAGUAGAGUGAUCGAAAGAUGAAAAGCACUUUGAAAAGAGGGUUAAAAAGUACGUGAAAUUGUUGAAAGGGAAGCGCCUAUGACCAGACUUGGGCCCGGUGAAUCAUCCAGCGUUCUCGCUGGUGCACUUUGCCGGGCACAGGCCAGCAUCAGUUUGGCGCGGGGGAUAAAGGCUUUGGGAAUGUGGCUCCCUCGGGAGUGUUAUAGCCCAUUGUGUAAUACCCUGCGCCGGACUGAGGUACGCGCAUUGCAAGGAUGCUGGCGUAA
This 1147-nucleotide ribosomal RNA is filed under the name Corniculantispora saksenae. Its description in RNAcentral is "Lecanicillium saksenae eukaryotic LSU rRNA". The stretch from base 540 to 1147 matches the Rfam family "Eukaryotic large subunit ribosomal RNA", at positions 1 to 634 of the family's 3401-position model. The record is from RNAcentral. Lineage: Eukaryota; Fungi; Ascomycota; Sordariomycetes; Hypocreales; Cordycipitaceae.